GGCCGGUUAGCUCAGCUGGUUAGAGCGUGGUGCUAAUAACGCCAAGGUCGCAGGUUCGACACCUGUACUGUCCA
This 74-nucleotide transfer RNA is filed under the name Albula glossodonta (roundjaw bonefish). It matches the Rfam family "tRNA". Rfam says of the family: Transfer RNA (tRNA) molecules are approximately 80 nucleotides in length. Lineage: Eukaryota; Metazoa; Chordata; Actinopteri; Albuliformes; Albulidae. The record is from Rfam by way of RNAcentral.